RNAcentral lists this transfer RNA (76 nucleotides) under Candidatus Methylospira mobilis. Its description in RNAcentral is "tRNA-Thr". It matches the Rfam family "tRNA". From Rfam's summary of the family: Transfer RNA (tRNA) molecules are approximately 80 nucleotides in length. Their secondary structure includes four short double-helical elements and three loops (D, anti-codon, and T loops). The record is from RNAcentral. Lineage: Bacteria; Pseudomonadati; Pseudomonadota; Gammaproteobacteria; Methylococcales; Methylococcaceae.
GCCCGAAUAGCUCAGUCGGUAGAGCGGUUCAUUCGUAAUGAAUAGGUCGCAGGUUCGAUUCCUGUUUCGGGCUCCA